AGCCUCAAGGAGGCUCCUCGUGUCUUCCUUAGAGCCCUGACUCCCCAUCUUGUCUGGGGGCAAGUGAGAAACCAGAGGUUGUGGCCGGAGAUCUGAGAGCUGGGGGUGAGCACGCACUGAGCUGCUGGAAAAUCACUCCUUGGUCCCUCUCCUUGAUCACAUUCCGGCUCCUCUGCUCAGACACCCCGCUUUUAAAUCGUUUUUGGUUUACGUUCAUGCGAAUUAAACAAAAUAAACCCAAGCAAAUCAGCCCUGACUAGAUUUGGGUUUGCUCCCUUUCCGCAAGACGCACACCAGGGCUUCGCUCGCAGCGCAGCCAAAACCAAAGGACAAUUAAACUCCAGGUUCCCUUUUAAAUUAAACAUUCCCUUCCAGGUCGUGGGUUCUGCUCCAAACCAGACAGUGAACCCACCAACGGGUGGGUAAAAGAGUUCAGUGUUGUGGCACAGCUCCCCGAAAAUCCCCCUCGCGCCGUGGAUCUCAGCGAUGCCGACCCCAUGAGCUCCUGCUUCAGGAUGGGAACAUCCUGGUUCUCCACCAGGUCUGCAGAGCAGGGGGGGGGGAAGGAUGUUUGUUAUUCUUGAGGGAUUUUAUUAUUUUUUCCUGGAUUCACAACGGCACAGAGGCUUGGAGGAGCUCGUUGCUUUGCUAAUGUGUGGUUUGCAACGAGAGCUGCGGAAAGGCUCCUUGAAGGAAAACCAAACUGGCUUCGGGAAUGAGCCAAGCCCGAGUGUUUGGGAGUGAUCUGGGGAAGAGGAUGAAGAGUGGGGAGGGGGAGAGGUGAAGGAGGGUAAUAGGAGCUGUGUGUGGUACUUCCACACAGAAAAAAAAAAAAACCAAAAAAACCCUUGAGGAACUGGUACUUCCACACAGAAAAGAAAAAAAAAAAAAACCUUGAGGAACGGAUUUGGGAUGCCUCCCUUUGGAAACAGUUGAAAAAAGGGAGCAGGAGGCUGAAUUUAAGAAGAGGUUAGAAAUGUUUGAAGAGCAAAUAGACCGAAAAAAACCCCAAACCAUGUCCUUGAGGGCUCCUCUCCCAUCAGCAUUCCCAUUCCAGGAGAGCACACUGGGUAAGGCUACGUGACCAGUGAAUGUGUCCUGACCCCAAGUGCACCACAAGAAUAAUAGAACUCAUAUUGUGCUUUCCUCUGGUAG
Molecule: long non-coding RNA, 1155 nt
Filed under: Ficedula albicollis (Collared flycatcher)
Lineage: Eukaryota; Metazoa; Chordata; Aves; Passeriformes; Muscicapidae
Description: lncRNA (ENSFALG00000025432.1)
Source: RNAcentral